AAGAGUUUGCUUGCAGGAAUCAUUUCCACAGUUCGUUAUGUGAGAAGUUUCUCGGAAUGUGUAGAGUACUGGAAAUCACAAGGAGGAGACAGAGUUCUCUCCUGAGCAUGAAGGGAGCUCUUGGUGUUGCUUUGGUUGCAGCUGUCAUUUGCCAUCAAUGACUGGUUGUUUUCUUCUUCUUUUAGGAGAGUGAAAAGACUGCUAGCUGAGUGGU
Molecule: small nucleolar RNA, 214 nt
Organism: Heterocephalus glaber (naked mole-rat)
Lineage: Eukaryota; Metazoa; Chordata; Mammalia; Rodentia; Bathyergidae
Gene: U3
Rfam family: Small nucleolar RNA U3
About the family: Small nucleolar RNAs (snoRNAs) are involved in the processing and modification of rRNA in the nucleolus. There are two main classes of snoRNAs: the box C/D class, and the box H/ACA class.
Source: Ensembl